Molecule: small nucleolar RNA, 108 nt
Organism: Rhododendron vialii
Lineage: Eukaryota; Viridiplantae; Streptophyta; Magnoliopsida; Ericales; Ericaceae
Product: small nucleolar RNA snoR100
Exons: 1
Source: RefSeq, a predicted model, not a curated record
CAAUGAAGGAAGCAUGGUAAUGUGCACAUAAAUUGAUUUGAGUCUCUAGGUCUGCCCUCUCUGAUGUCAUUUGGCUUUGAUUUGGGGGCAUGGUUUUAUAACAAAAUU